RNAcentral lists this ribosomal RNA (349 nucleotides) under uncultured bacterium. RNAcentral describes it as "bacterial SSU rRNA". It matches the Rfam family "Bacterial small subunit ribosomal RNA", at positions 917 to 1269 of the family's 1533-position model. The record is from RNAcentral.
GGGCCCGCACAAGCGGUGGAGCAUGUGGUUUAAUUCGAUGAUACGCGAGGAACCUUACCAGGGCUUAAAUGUAAGUUGCAUUAGUUAGAGAUAGCUAUUUCUUCGGACCACUUACAAGGUGCUGCAUGGUUGUCGUCAGCUCGUGCCGUGAGGUGUCAGGUUAAGUCCUAUAACGAGCGCAACCCCUGUUGUUAGUUGCCAGCGAGUAAUGUCGGGAACUCUAACAAGACUGCCGGUGCAAACCGUGAGGAAGGUGGGGAUGACGUCAAAUCAUCACGGCCCUUACGUCCUGGCCACACACGUGCUACAAUGGCCGGUACAGAGAGCAGCCACUACGCGAGUAGGAGCG